Molecule: non-coding RNA, 31 nt
Filed under: Mus musculus (house mouse)
Lineage: Eukaryota; Metazoa; Chordata; Mammalia; Rodentia; Muridae
Source: RNAcentral
UGAAAUGGCUCUCCUGUUUCUUUUUAGACUC